UUAGUAACUGCGAGUGAAGCGGCAAGAGCUCAAAUUUGAAAUCUGGCGUCUUGCACGUCCGACUUGUAAUUUGGAGAGGCAUCUUGGAGAUGGUGCGGUCCCAAGUUCCUUGGAACAGGACGUCGCAGAGGGUGAGAAUCCCGUGCCUGGGCAGCUACCCAUCUUCAUUUCAGGGUGUUUUCGACGAGUCGAGUUGUUUGGGAAUGCAGCUCAAAAUGGGUGGUAAAUGUCAUCUAAAGCUAAAUAUUGGCGAGAGACCGAUAGCGCACAAGUAGAGUGAUCGAAAGAUGAAAAGCACUUUGAAAAGAGAGUCAAAAAGUACGUGAAAUUGCUGAAAGGGAAGCGCUUGAGAUCAGAUUCAAUUCCCUGAUGUUACCCCGGGCUUUUGUUCGGUAAUCAAUGUCUUGGAUUGUGCCAGCAUCGGUUUUGGCGGUGGGAUAAACGGCCGGGGAAUGUAGCUUCCUCCGGGGAGUGUUAGAGCCCUGGCCACAAUGCCAUCAGCUGGGACCGAGGACCGCGCUUUGGCAAGGAUGCUGGCGUAAUGGUCUUAAGCGACCCGUCUUGAAACACGGACCAAGGAGUCUAACAUCUAUGCGAGUGUUUGGGUGGAAAACCCUUGCGCGAAAUGAAAGUGAACGGAGGUGGGAACCCGCAACGGUGCACCAUCGACCGAUCCUAAUGUCUUCAGAAGGAUUUGAGUAAGAGCAUAGCUGUUGGGACCCGAAAGAUGGUGAACUAUGCCUGAAUAGGGUGAAGCCAGAGGAAACUCUGGUGGAGGCUCGCAGCGGUUCUGACGUGCAAAUCGAUCGUCAAAUUUGGG
RNAcentral lists this ribosomal RNA (820 nucleotides) under Myrmecocystis cf. spinospora. RNAcentral's name for it is "LSU rRNA". It matches the Rfam family "Eukaryotic large subunit ribosomal RNA", at positions 80 to 915 of the family's 3401-position model. The record is from RNAcentral. Lineage: Eukaryota; Fungi; Ascomycota; Pezizomycetes; Pezizales; Pyronemataceae.